This 730-nucleotide ribosomal RNA is filed under the name uncultured Laccaria. RNAcentral describes it as "eukaryotic LSU rRNA". The stretch from base 308 to 461 matches the Rfam family "5.8S ribosomal RNA". The record is from RNAcentral. Lineage: Eukaryota; Fungi; Basidiomycota; Agaricomycetes; Agaricales; Tricholomataceae.
CUUGGUCAUUUAGAGGAAGUAAAAGUCGUAACAAGGUUUCCGUAGGUGAACCUGCGGAAGGAUCAUUAUUGAAUAAACCUGAUGUGAUUGUUAGCUGGCUUUUCGAAGCAUGUGCUCGUCUGUCAUCUUUAUCUCUCCACCUGUGCACAUUUUGUAGUCUUGGAUACCUCUCGAGGAAACUCGGAUUUUAGGAUCGCUGUGCUGUACAAGUCGGCUUUUCUUUCAUUUCCAAGACUAUGUUUUUAUAUACACCAAAGUAUGUUUAUAGAAUGUCAUCAAUGGGAACUUGUUUCCUAUAAAAUUAUACAACUUUCAGCAACGGAUCUCUUGGCUCUCGCAUCGAUGAAGAACGCAGCGAAAUGCGAUAAGUAAUGUGAAUUGCAGAAUUCAGUGAAUCAUCGAAUCUUUGAACGCACCUUGCGCUCCUUGGUAUUCCGAGGAGCAUGCCUGUUUGAGUGUCAUUAAAUUCUCAACCUUCCAACUUUUAUUAGCUUGGUUAGGCUUGGAUGUGGGGGUUGCGGGCUUCAAUAAUGAGGUCGGCUCUCCUUAAAUGCAUUAGUGGAACUUUUGUGGACCGUCUAUUGGUGUGAUAAUUAUCUACGCCGUGGAUGUGAAGCAGCUUUAUGAAGUUCUGCUUCUAACCGUCCAUUGACUUGGACAAUUUUUGACAAUUUGACCUCAAAUCAGGUAGGACUACCCGCUGAACUUAAGCAUAUCAAUAAGCGGAGGA